RNAcentral lists this transfer RNA (70 nucleotides) under Pristimantis ridens (pygmy robber frog). RNAcentral describes it as "tRNA-Tyr". Lineage: Eukaryota; Metazoa; Chordata; Amphibia; Anura; Strabomantidae. The record is from RNAcentral.
UGGUAAAAAGAGGAUUUAAACCUCUGUCAUUGGGGCUACAAGCCACCGCCUAGCUCUAGGCUAUUUUACC